Long non-coding RNA from Engraulis encrasicolus (European anchovy), 566 nucleotides. RefSeq lists it as uncharacterized. NCBI's taxonomy places the organism in Eukaryota, Metazoa, Chordata, Actinopteri, Clupeiformes, Engraulidae. The transcript has 4 exons. The record is from RefSeq and is a predicted model, not a curated record.
CAAGAAAGACAGCAAAUUUAUCGUCGCGAGUGGCAGACGUCAAAGAGAACGAAAACACAGACUUUAACCGCAGGCAAGUUGCAGGAAGCAGCUGAAGUAAAGGAAGCCAAGAGCAUCCUCAUUCACAUCAAGGACAGAGACUGUGUGGCUCUGGAGGUGCAGUACCACAGAAGUUGCUACAGAGAGUACACAAGGUUUUUGAGUGAGCCUGUCAGAGCAGAGAAAGAACAGAUUGGGCCAACAUUUGAUCUGAGCUACAAGUUAUUUUGCCGAGAGGGUAAUCCGCUAAAGGCUACUGAUCAACCAAGAGGUGCUGAGGAUGAGCCAACUGAGGAAGGCCUUUAUUGCCCUUGUGCAGUCAAGUGAAGGUGUUGAUGCUUCAACCUACAGACAGGAUAUAUUGAAGAAGAGGCUCAGUCGUGAUUUUCCUCAGCUAGUGUUCCACACCCCCGCCAAACGCAACACAUCUGAACUGGUUUUUGCUGAGAACUUGUCGACGAAUGCAGUCUUGGACUUGUUACCAUCAGGUGCGGAGACGACUCAGUCCACCGAAAUGAGCCAGACAG